This is a non-coding RNA of Triticum aestivum (bread wheat), 125 nucleotides long. The record is from Rfam. Lineage: Eukaryota; Viridiplantae; Streptophyta; Magnoliopsida; Poales; Poaceae.
AUAAUACUCCCUUCGUGCGGAAAUACUUGUUGGAGGAAUGGACGUAUCUAGACGUAUUUUAGUGCUAGAUACAUUCAUUUUUAGUCAUUUCUACGACAAGUAUUUCCGGGUGGAGGGAGUAGCAU